Molecule: ribosomal RNA, 407 nt
Filed under: uncultured bacterium
Lineage: Bacteria
Description: partial 16S ribosomal RNA
Rfam family: Bacterial small subunit ribosomal RNA
Source: RNAcentral
AUUGAACGCUGGCGGCAGGCCUAACACAUGCAAGUCGAGCGGAGCGGCGGUCGGGUGAGUAAUGCCUAGGAAUCUGCCUGGUAGUGGGGGAUAACGUCCGGAAACGGGCGCUAAUACCGCAUACUAUCAGAUGAGCCUAGGUCGGAUUAGCUAGUUGGUGGGGUAAAGGCCUACCAAGGCGACGAUCCGUAACUGGUCUGAGGGGAUGAUUCGUCACACGGGAACGGGGACACGGUCAAGACUCCUACGGGAGGCAGCAGUGGGGAAUAUUGGACAAGGGGCGAAAGCCGGAUCCAGCCAGGCCGCGUGGGGGAAGAAGGUCUUCGGAUUGAAAAGCACUUUAAGUUGGGAGGCGGUACCAACAGAAUAAGCACCGGCUAACUUCGUGCCAGCAGCCGCGGUAAUAC